GUUUGCUGUGGUUAAGGGAGCCAGAAACAUUGCCUAGCUGAGCUGCAGUGGGAACAACCUUGGAGAUUGGAGUGUUGAUCCAUUGACUACCUUGGUCAGUGGGUUCACUCACUCUUCUGCUGCCAUCUGCAAGGUACUGGUGGCAGGGAAGACCUCUGGCUCCCCUUCUCUGCACCAGCUUUGGUCCUCUCCCGAUUGCCCCAUUUGGGGACCAGAAAUACAGUUCUUCAGGCUCCCUUCAUGAAUCCAGAGGGAGCAGGAGCUCUGGAAACAUGUCUUCUUCUCCCUUGCUCCAUUUGGAGGUGUCUCCACACCUGCGGAGGAUGCUAACAUUGAUACAUCUGUCUUCCCACUGGAUUUGGAGGAUCUGCUGUGGGCAGCACUGAUGGUACUUCUCCAACAACUUUAGAUGUCUCCUGUACAUUGUCCAUGUCUCAGCUCUGUACAACAAGAGUUUCCAGGCAUACCUUAAAAAGAAGAAACAUCAGGUGGUGGUAAAUGGUGUCACCACUCCAGGGCUCCACAUGUGAUGGAUACAUAAAAGUGUUUCUCUCUCAUGCUUUUCAACAAACAUAUGAAUUUUCUUGAUUAAAUUAUUUUGAAACACUAGUUACAGAUGCCGAUAGCACAUAAUGUCUCUUGCCUGGUGGACCUAUAUAGUCAACCUCUGUUUUGGAAAAAGGUGUGGAGCUAUCUCCUUUUGUGCAAAAAAGAAAAGUUUUGUUCUUUUUUUAUAAUAUCUACACAAAAAAGCUUAUCUAUCCUCCAUGCUCCUACUUGUUAAGAUGCUGUCUUCAGAAUAGCCAAAUCAAGUUACUUUUGAUCAGGUGUUUCCCUUUAAAGUCCUGUGUUAGACAAUGUAAGAUUUAAGCCUAGUGUAGUAACAUAGUUAAAAGCUAUUUAGGUUUUCACAGGUCUCUCAGUUGGACUCCCCUGUUCUCUUCUGCUUGUUCAGAAUGCAAUAACAAUAGCAAGACAUACUACUCACUUGAGUUGUCAAAUAGAAAAUAUUCUAUUUAUUAUUGCAUUGCCAGUGGCUACCAAUAUUCCAAGGACUUGAAUACUUGUUUCUUUUUGCCCAUAUUCUACUGCCAUCCUUGGAAGCACAUAAUCAAAACCUAAGAACAUUCCAUAUGGUAUAAGGUAAUAAAAUACCUGUUGUAUCCAGCGACCACUGAAUUCUGUGUAGAAUUGGAGUUACUUGUCUCUAGCUAUCAUGGGAAUUAAUUCAUUUCUGUUCAUUAGAAGCUACAUUGUUCAGAUCUCAUAUCUACUGGUGAGCAUUUUUACUAGAAGUCUCAUUGGCUGAUGUUCUGAGCAAGUGCUAAUUAAUGUUAGCAAGGGCUGAAUCAAAUGUACAAUAAAAACCAUCAUAACAGUUCCAACAGAAAACGGAUUUAAAUUAAUUAGCUCUUUCUGUUCUUAAGUCUUUUUAUUCACUGAUAGAUGUAAUGUUCAUAUUCAUUUAAAGAGACUAUCCAAAAACCAAAUGCAUUUUUGUAGCAUUUAUAAUUAACACAAAAUCGUGGCCAAACAGCGUUUGCUCAUUUAACAAGCCAAGUGGAAAUUGUCCAAGGUCAAUAAAGACCUGGCCAUGUAGAAUGCUUCCAGGCUGAAUAAACUUGAUAAAAGUAAAUACAUAAGUUAGCUAAAGCAAGUAAAAGUAUUUCUCUCUGUAUUUUGCAAGGCUGUAUGUUUUUUAAAUAUCGUUUCUAAUUCCAUGUUUUAAUUACUUUUCAUCUCGUUCUUUGGGAAUAAGAGUGCUACUUUGUUUGUUUCCAUUUCCAUGUGCUUAUUCAAUCCUCAAAAUGAAUAUUAAAUUUAUUUCAGCUUAAAACCACCUAAAUCAUUUUGUUUUAGAGUACAUCAGUUAGAUUAGGUUUCAACUUGUACUGCCAGAACUCAUCUUAGUCUGGCUAAAUUGUGUGCCAUAUCAUAGUUUUAAUAAAGUGACAGCAAAUGUUUAAUUGGUCUUUUUUCUGUUUACCAUCCAGAGUUUUCUCAGAUGAAUCGAACUGUGAUUAAUUUGCCCAGAACACUGCUGUUUUGUACUAAAAUUAGAUAAGGGCACUUUCUGAUUUUCUUGUAAAUUAAAGAGCUUUCUUUGAUUUAUCAUCUACUGUUAGAAACACAAGUUAAGUCUGUCUUAAUUAGGUUGCUUAAGACUGGACAAAGUGCCUGUGGGA
Long non-coding RNA from Alligator mississippiensis (American alligator), 2186 nucleotides. RefSeq lists it as uncharacterized. NCBI's taxonomy places the organism in Eukaryota, Metazoa, Chordata, Crocodylia, Alligatoridae. The record is from RefSeq and is a predicted model, not a curated record. The transcript is spliced from 4 exons.